GUUAAGCGACUAAGCGUACACGGUGGAUGCCCUGGCAGUCAGAGGCGAUGAAGGACGUGCUAAUCUGCGAUAAGCGUCGGUAAGGUGAUAUGAACCGUUAUAACCGGCGAUUUCCGAAUGGGGAAACCCAGUGUGUUUCGACACACUAUCAUUAACUGAAUCCAUAGGUUAAUGAGGCGAACCGGGGGAACUGAAACAUCUAAGUACCCCGAGGAAAAGAAAUCAACCGAGAUUCCCCCAGUAGCGGCGAGCGAACGGGGAGCAGCCCAGAGCCUGAAUCAGUGUGUGUGUUAGUGGAAGCGUCUGGAAAGGCGCGCGAUACAGGGUGACAGCCCCGUACACAAAAAUGCACAUGCUGUGAGCUCGAUGAGUAGGGCGGGACACGUGGUAUCCUGUCUGAAUAUGGGGGGACCAUCCUCCAAGGCUAAAUACUCCUGACUGACCGAUAGUGAACCAGUACCGUGAGGGAAAGGCGAAAAGAACCCCGGCGAGGGGAGUGAAAAAGAACCUGAAACCGUGU
This 520-nucleotide ribosomal RNA is filed under the name Escherichia coli. Its description in RNAcentral is "partial 23S ribosomal RNA". It matches the Rfam family "Bacterial large subunit ribosomal RNA", at positions 1 to 561 of the family's 2925-position model. Lineage: Bacteria; Pseudomonadati; Pseudomonadota; Gammaproteobacteria; Enterobacterales; Enterobacteriaceae. The record is from RNAcentral.